GCCAGGCAUGGUGGUGCAUACCUGUAAUCCCAGCUACUUGGGAGGCUGAGGCAGAAAAUUGCAAGUUCCAGCCACAGCAUCUU
This 83-nucleotide small RNA is filed under the name Marmota monax (woodchuck). Lineage: Eukaryota; Metazoa; Chordata; Mammalia; Rodentia; Sciuridae. The record is from RNAcentral.